UGCAAGUCGAGCGGACAGAUGGGAGCUUGCUCCCUGAUGUUAGCGGCGGACGGGUGAGUAACACGUGGGUAACCUGCCUGUAAGACUGGGAUAACUCCGGGAAACCGGGGCUAAUACCGGAUGGUUGUUUGAACCGCAUGGUUCAGACAUAAAAGGUGGCUUCGGCUACCACUUACAGAUGGACCCGCGGCGCAUUAGCUAGUUGGUGAGGUAACGGCUCACCAAGGCGACGAUGCGUAGCCGACCUGAGAGGGUGAUCGGCCACACUGGGACUGAGACACGGCCCAGACUCCUACGGGAGGCAGCAGUAGGGAAUCUUCCGCAAUGGACGAAAGUCUGACGGAGCAACGCCGCGUGAGUGAUGAAGGUUUUCGGAUCGUAAAGCUCUGUUGUUAGGGAAGAACAAGUGCCGUUCAAAUAGGGCGGCACCUUGACGGUACCUAACCAGAAAGCCACGGCUAACUACGUGCCAGCAGCCGCGGUAAUACGUAGGUGGCAAGCGUUGUCCGGAAUUAUUGGGCGUAAAGGGCUCGCAGGCGGUUUCUUAAGUCUGAUGUGAAAGCCCCCGGCUCAACCGGGGAGGGUCAUUGGAAACUGGGGAACUUGAGUGCAGAAGAGGAGAGUGGAAUUCCACGUGUAGCGGUGAAAUGCGUAGAGAUGUGGAGGAACACCAGUGGCGAAGGCGACUCUCUGGUCUGUAACUGACGCUGAGGAGCGAAAGCGUGGGGAGCGAACAGGAUUAGAUACCCUGGUAGUCCACGCCGUAAACGAUGAGUGCUAAGUGUUAGGGGGUUUCCGCCCCUUAGUGCUGCAGCUAACGCAUUAAGCACUCC
This 833-nucleotide ribosomal RNA is filed under the name Bacillus sp. AUBB05. Its description in RNAcentral is "bacterial SSU rRNA". It matches the Rfam family "Bacterial small subunit ribosomal RNA", at positions 56 to 870 of the family's 1533-position model. Lineage: Bacteria; Bacillati; Bacillota; Bacilli; Caryophanales; Bacillaceae. The record is from RNAcentral.